RNAcentral lists this small RNA (28 nucleotides) under Bombyx mori (domestic silkworm). Its description in RNAcentral is "ovarian small RNA-10576". Lineage: Eukaryota; Metazoa; Arthropoda; Insecta; Lepidoptera; Bombycidae. The record is from RNAcentral.
AAGCCAUUGAUGCACAAGCCGUGACUGA